UUUUUUCUCAUUUCCUUUACUUUUGCCCUUCUCUAUUGUCAUUGGAAAAAAAUUUAGUUAAACAGCAUAAAUUCUGUUUUAAAUUGUUAUCUCCUAGUAUAUCACAGCUCAAGAAUCAUAGCAUUCAACCAUAUUUAACUUGACUAGCUAGCUACAACAAGAUAUCCAACUUUUUUCUAGAUCAUCAACCUAGCUAAACACUCUUAAAAAGAAAAUUCAUAAUUUAAUUUUGAGUGAUCCAAAAUUUGCUUAAGAAAAGAGGUAUUGGACUAUAAAAGUGAAUCUGAAUCACUAAACCAUCCAAUGGAAUCUGAGAGAAAUUAAUCCAAAUACCAUCAAAUGCUGUUAAUAUUCUUAAGCAAUAAUGGUUCACUACUAGAUGUAUAGAUGAAAGAAAAACUAUUUUUUUUAAGAAAAGAAAAUGUACAUGAAUGGAUUAAAUGGCAUAUAAUUCGGCUUAUGCAGCUAUAUAUCCCUCUGGCUAGAAAUCCACACAAAUACAUUUCAUGAAUCUGCAAUGGAGGGAUAAAAUUUCAACCUCUCAAAGAGAAAAACACUAAAUAGAAGACACAAUAUCGAAUCAUAUUCCAUGACUGCGUCGUUGCCAUUGAUGUUGUAUAUCAUCGUCGCAACCCUCAUUGAUUUCUUCUCUAAUGGUCUCCAAUCCUGGUGUAUUUGAAGGUUUUCGUCGAUAGCUGGUUAUAAGUGCAGGAGCAACCUCCAUCCAAGAACGCACAUUUCUAGUUUCUCGUGUCAUUUUUUUUGAAUGGAAAAUCCACGUGAAAGCCAACUAAAAAAGAUUAUAUCAAUCAAAUAAUAAGUUGGAUUUGCUCUCUUCUCCCUUGGCUUUAGGAAGAAAGAGAGAUGAGAAAAAUGAGUUGUUCUUUGAGAAAUAUAAAACUUUUUUAUUUUUUAUUUUUUUAAUGAAUUGAGGAGGAAGUAAAUGCUUGGGAAUUUAUAAAUGUGGAAGCUAGGAAUUAAGGGGGUGAGAAUAAGCAAAUGCUAGAAAAAAAGGACAAAUUAAAGCUUUAUUUUGUGGUUGUUGAAGUAUGUCAAUUGUGAGACUUUUUGUGGCUCCCCG
This 1081-nucleotide long non-coding RNA is filed under the name Nicotiana benthamiana. RNAcentral describes it as "long non-coding RNA (NBEN_LNC014375)". The record is from RNAcentral. Lineage: Eukaryota; Viridiplantae; Streptophyta; Magnoliopsida; Solanales; Solanaceae.